CACGUAGGGCGCAAGCGUUGUCCGGAAUUAUUGGGCGUAAAGAGCUCGUAGGUGGUUUGUUACGUCCGCUGUGAAAUCCUAGGGCUUAACCCUGGGCUUGCAGUGGAUACGGGCAGACUAGAGGUAGGUAGGGGAGAAUGGAAUUCCUGGUGUAGCGGUGAAAUGCGCAGAUAUCAGGAGGAACACCAAUGGCGAAGGCAGCACUCUGGGACGUGACUGACGCUGAGACGCGAAAGCGUGGGGAGCAAACAGG
RNAcentral lists this ribosomal RNA (253 nucleotides) under uncultured bacterium. RNAcentral describes it as "partial 16S ribosomal RNA". It matches the Rfam family "Bacterial small subunit ribosomal RNA", at positions 524 to 776 of the family's 1533-position model. The record is from RNAcentral.